RNAcentral lists this ribosomal RNA (540 nucleotides) under Psilocybe fagicola. RNAcentral describes it as "partial 28S large subunit ribosomal RNA". It matches the Rfam family "Eukaryotic large subunit ribosomal RNA", at positions 75 to 615 of the family's 3401-position model. The record is from RNAcentral. Lineage: Eukaryota; Fungi; Basidiomycota; Agaricomycetes; Agaricales; Agrocybaceae.
UUCCCCUAGUAANUGCGAGUGAAGCGGGAAAAGCUCAAAUNNAAANUNNGGCGGUNNUUGGCUGUCCGAGUUGUAAUCUAGAGAAGUGCUAUCCGCGCUGGACCGUGUACAAGUCUCCUGGAAUGGAGCGUCAUAGAGGGUGAGAAUCCCGUCUUUGACACGGACUGCCAGGGCUUUGUGAUGUGCUCUCAAAGAGUCGAGUUGUUUGGGAAUGCAGCUCAAAAUGGGUGGUAAAUUCCAUCUAAAGCUAAAUAUUGGCGAGAGACCGAUAGCGAACAAGUACCGUGAGGGAAAGAUGAAAAGAACUUUGGAAAGAGAGUUAAACAGUACGUGAAAUUGCUGAAAGGGAAACGCUUGAAGUCAGUCGCGUUGACCGGGAAUCAACCUUGCUUUUGCUGGGCGUACUUUCCGGUUGACGGGUCAGCAUCAAUUUUGAUCGUUGGAUAAAGUUCGUGGAAAUGUGGCUUCUUCGGAAGUGUUAUAGUCCAUGUUCGCAUACAACGGUUGGGAUUGAGGAANNCAGCNCGCCGCAAGGCCAGG